AAUUUAAGAAUAAUAAUUCGUUUCAAAAAAGAGAAGUCAUAGAUCAUAUCAAUGUUAAAGAGAGCGCUAGGCGAUAAGCGGCAAUGACCCAAUGCCUAGCGCCUAAAACGCUUAAUCGGGGCCUAAGCGAUUUUAGGCGGUUAGUGCGUUUAUAAUAUAAAUACUAUAAAU
RNAcentral lists this small RNA (171 nucleotides) under Arabidopsis thaliana (thale cress). RNAcentral describes it as "ATSL081220". Lineage: Eukaryota; Viridiplantae; Streptophyta; Magnoliopsida; Brassicales; Brassicaceae. The record is from RNAcentral.